This 260-nucleotide ribosomal RNA is filed under the name uncultured bacterium. Its description in RNAcentral is "partial 16S ribosomal RNA". It matches the Rfam family "Bacterial small subunit ribosomal RNA", at positions 338 to 589 of the family's 1533-position model. The record is from RNAcentral.
CCUACGGGAGGCAGCAGUGGGGAAUAUUGCGCAAUGGGGGAAACCCUGACGCAGCAACGCCGCGUGAGUGAGGAAGGACUUCGGUCUGUAAAGCUCUGUUAAUGUGGAAAAAUGGUAGUUGGUCUAAUAGGCCGAUUAUUUGAUGGUACNCAUAGAGGAAGCACCGGCUAACUUCGUGCCAGCAGCCGCGGUAAUACGAAGGGUGCAAGCGUUGUUCGGAUUUAUUGGGCGUAAAGCGCGCGUAGGCGGACCUGCAAGUA